Molecule: ribosomal RNA, 568 nt
Filed under: uncultured bacterium
Lineage: Bacteria
Description: bacterial SSU rRNA
Rfam family: Bacterial small subunit ribosomal RNA
Source: RNAcentral
GGGCCCGCACAAGCGGUGGAGCAUGUGGUUUAAUUCGAAGCAACGCGAAGAACCUUACCAGGUCUUGACAUCCCACUGACCGGCUUAGAGAUAGGCUUUUCCCUUCGGGGACAGUGGUGACAGGUGGUGCAUGGUUGUCGUCAGCUCGUGUCGUGAGAUGUUGGGUUAAGUCCCGCAACGAGCACAACCCUUGAUCUUAGUUGCCAGCAUUCAGUUGGGCACUCUAAGGUGACUGCCGGUGAUAAACCGGAGGAAGGUGGGGAUGACGUCAAAUCAUCAUGCCCCUUAUGACCUGGGCUACACACGUGCUACAAUGGACGAUACAAAGGGCUGCAAACCCGCGAGGGGGAGCCAAUCCCAUAAAAUCGUUCUCAGUUCGGAUUGCAGGCUGCAACUCGCCUGCAUGAAGCUGGAAUCGCUAGUAAUCGUAGAUCAGCAUGCUACGGUGAAUACGUUCCCGGGCCUUGUACACACCGCCCGUCACACCACGAGAGUUUGUAACACCCGAAGUCGGUGAGGUAACCUUUACAGGAGCCAGCCGCCGAAGGUGGGACAGAUGAUUGGGGUG